AUGUUUGUCUUAAGAAUAUGAAAUUUAAUUUUUCUUUUGUUUUUCUCUUUUUCUUUCAUUUUGUUCUUUUCUAGAAUGUUGUUUUUAAAUCUAUCUUACAGUCUAUAUUUAAGAUGGAACAUUUUUUCCUGAGGAUCCACUGAUAUUAAUAUAAUUUUUUUAUUGGACUGAGUAUGUCUAAUAUUUUUAUCUUUUGUCCUCUUUAUUUCUGGUAGAGUUUUUUAUUACUCGGGGGAGUACAUAGAAGGAGAGAUUAAUUUAUCCCGUUUUAUUUUUUUACUAGCCGGCUUUGUAGGCUCUAUAGGUCUAUUAAUUUUUAGCCCAAACUUGAUUAGAAUCUUAUUAGGUUGAGAUGGCCUUGGGUUAGUAUCAUAUUGUUUGGUAAUUUAUUACCAAAAUUAUAAGUCUUUAAAUGCUGGAACUUUAACGGUUUUAUCUAAUCGAGUAGGAGAUGUGUUAAUUUUGUUGGGAAUUGUUUGAAUAAUUAACUUUGGGGAUUGAAGAUUUGUUGCAUGGUUGGGUUCAUCUAACAGACUAAUUUUGGUUAGAGCUUUAAUUGUCUUAGCUUCUUUAACUAAAAGUGCUCAAAUUCCUUUUUCUGCCUGGUUGCCAGCAGCUAUAGCUGCUCCUACUCCAGUUUCUUCUUUAGUUCAUUCUUCUACCUUAGUAACAGCAGGAAUUUACUUGGUAAUUCGGCUCGGAUGAGUUUAUGAUUUUUGAAUAAAUGAACUUUUAAUAAUUCUUUCUGUUUUAACCAUGUUUAUGGCUGGACUUGGAGCUUGCUUUGAAUUUGACCUAAAGAAAAUUAUUGCUUUAUCUACUCUUAGACAAUUAGGCUUAAUAAUAUACAGCUUAUCUUUAGGAUUGGUAAAGGUAGCUCUAUUUCAUUUGUUAAUGCAUACUCUAUUUAAAGCAUUAUUAUUUAUAAGUGCUGGUUGUAUUAUCCACGGUUUUAAAGGUUGACAAGAUAUCCGAAUAAUAGGAAAUAUAAUAAUUUCUUUACCUUUUAUUAGAUCAUGCUUUGUAGUUUCAAAUUUAGCUUUAAGAGGAAUGCCGUUUUUAGCAGGAUUUUACUCAAAAGACAUAAUCUUAGAAUUAUCCCUAAUAGAGGAAUUAAACUUAUUAAGUUUAUUUAUACUAUUCUUGUCUACUGGUUUAACUGUAGCUUAUACUUUUCGCUUAAUUUAUUAUAUAGUACGCCGUGACUAUGUAAUAAGUGGGUCGGGAAAUUUAAGUGAUGGCUGAGGGGUUAUAGUAAAGUCUUGUAUUGGGCUGGUAACUUUUUCUGUGUUUUUUGGAGCUUUAAUCUCUUGAUUAAGAAUAGAUGUAAACUCAAUUAUUCUACCAAAAAGUCUAAAAAAUCUUACUUUAACAGUUUGUAUUUUAGGUUUAAUUUUAGGGUUUUUUAUAUCUCAAUCUUCUUAUACUUUUUCUAAAAUAAAAUUUUCUUUAAUGAUUUGAUUUAGAGGAUCUAUAUGAUUUUUACCUUAUCUAUCUUCUCAACCUAUAACUUAUAUUCCUCUGAAAUUGGGGUCAGAAAUUAUGAAAUUUGGAGACAUAGGCUGACUUGAAUAUCUAGGGGGUCAAGGAAUUAGAAGUUAUAUUAGAAAUAUAUCUUUAAAAAUUCAGAUUAUAAGUAUAAAUUCUUUAAAAGUUUUUAUUUUAAUUUUAUGAAUUCUAGUUAGAGUAUUUAUAUUUUUUUAA
RNAcentral lists this unclassified non-coding RNA (1704 nucleotides) under Amphibalanus amphitrite. Its description in RNAcentral is "nADH-ubiquinone oxidoreductase chain 5". Lineage: Eukaryota; Metazoa; Arthropoda; Thecostraca; Balanomorpha; Balanidae. The record is from RNAcentral.